RNAcentral lists this ribosomal RNA (669 nucleotides) under Staphylococcus argenteus. RNAcentral describes it as "partial 23S ribosomal RNA". It matches the Rfam family "Bacterial large subunit ribosomal RNA", at positions 426 to 1097 of the family's 2925-position model. Lineage: Bacteria; Bacillati; Bacillota; Bacilli; Caryophanales; Staphylococcaceae. The record is from RNAcentral.
GUGAAAUUCCGUCGGAAUCUGGGAGGACCAUCUCCUAAGGCUAAAUACUCUCUAGUGACCGAUAGUGAACCAGUACCGUGAGGGAAAGGUGAAAAGCACCCCGGAAGGGGAGUGAAAUAGAACCUGAAACCGUGUGCUUACAAGUAGUCAGAGCCCGUUAAUGGGUGAUGGCGUGCCUUUUGUAGAAUGAACCGGCGAGUUACGAUUUGAUGCAAGGUUAAGCAGUAAAUGUGGAGCCGUAGCGAAAGCGAGUCUGAAUAGGGCGUUUAGUAUUUGGUCGUAGACCCGAAACCAGGUGAUCUACCCUUGGUCAGGUUGAAGUUCAGGUAACACUGAAUGGAGGACCGAACCGACUUACGUUGAAAAGUGAGCGGAUGAACUGAGGGUAGCGGAGAAAUUCCAAUCGAACCUGGAGAUAGCUGGUUCUCUCCGAAAUAGCUUUAGGGCUAGCCUCAAGUGAUGAUUAUUGGAGGUAGAGCACUGUUUGGACGAGGGGCCCCUCUCGGGUUACCGAAUUCAGACAAACUCCGAAUGCCAAUUAAUUUAACUUGGGAGUCAGAACAUGGGUGAUAAGGUCCGUGUUCGAAAGGGAAACAGCCCAGACCACCAGCUAAGGUCCCAAAAUAUAUGUUAAGUGGAAAAGGAUGUGGCGUUGCCCAGACAACUAGG